RNAcentral lists this long non-coding RNA (619 nucleotides) under Lactuca sativa (garden lettuce). Its description in RNAcentral is "long non-coding RNA (LSAT_LNC004030)". Lineage: Eukaryota; Viridiplantae; Streptophyta; Magnoliopsida; Asterales; Asteraceae. The record is from RNAcentral.
CGAUUUCGGUACUGCCACAGCCGACGAGCCCUAAUUCUGUCGGUCGUUGCCUCAUCAAGCGAGUCGUCUACUUCUCGCCACGAUAACCUUCUCCUCCCCUGUGAAGACAUCGACCUCACUGCUAAGGUUCGUAUUUGUUCAUGAUGUCUGCAUUCGUUUUUUUCCUGUAGUCUGCUUUCAUUCAUUUUCCUGCUGUUGGUUUUAUUUCUUUUGAUGUGGUCUUCCUUCUUUUCCCUAGUUUAUGGUUCCUGUUAGCAUAUAACACAACUGUUAAACCAGGUAGCUUAUCAAUUGCUGCAUAACUCACAACACAAAAUAGAAACAAUUGUAAUGAAUGUUGUUACAAUUCUUUGUUAUUGGAUUAUAUUUGAUUUCUGUUUUGUUAAAGCUGUUAAAUAGCAACCAAUGGCUAUGUUCAAUUUUGAUUUAUGCAUUAUAUUUUAUCUUUAAUUUCUGUUUUGUUCAAUUUGCUAGAUGGAUGUUGUUACAAUUCUUUGUUAUUGGGCGGGAGAACUUGUGAUGGUCGGAUAGUAUGAGUUAUAGUAAAGCUUAAAAAAAGCAAUCAAUGUUAACAGUAGAAUACAGUUCUUUGUAAUUCUUUGUAAGAAGUCAUUGUUGG